Molecule: long non-coding RNA, 658 nt
Organism: Pseudopipra pipra
Lineage: Eukaryota; Metazoa; Chordata; Aves; Passeriformes; Pipridae
Exons: 3
Source: RefSeq, a predicted model, not a curated record
CAGGAUCAGACAUAUUCUGUCAUCCUGGGACAGGGUUCAGGGUAUCAUGAACCAAGUGCCAGACAAGUCCCAGUCUUCCCCUAAACACAAAGAUGAGAAGAAGAGCAGUAAGUCUCCGGAAAAGCCAGAGAAGAAUCCUCUGGAAAAACAUGGCAGCCACAAGAGUCUUCAGCGGGAAGGGGAAGUUGCAGAAGGCUCAGUCAGAAGCCAGGAUGCCGGAGUGCCCUGCUUGGACUUCCACGUCACGCGUCGUGAAAAGGUGUUUAGGAGGAUCCUGAAGAGCAAGAAGCUGCCACCACCAAAGCAGAUUCUGGACUCUCUGGGACUGGGUCCCUUAGGGCCUCCCAUUCCCCCUGGCUCUCUUUUCUCUGUGGUCCCCUACCCAGAGGAGGACAGAGUCCCCACAGCAUCACAAGACCUCAGACACUUCAUCCUUGUUGAACCUGAGGGUGCUGCUGCAGAAGAUGAUGUGGCCCCAGAGGCAGAGGCACAGGACCACUUGAAGGAGGGGAAAGCCACGAGCAGACACAAGUCUAGCAAGGAAAAGCCAAACUCCCCCCAGAGCCCGAAAAGUCUCCGUGAUCACUCCCCAGAAACACCCCGAAGUUCACCUGAGCCAAUGAAAAGCCAACUGCAGAGUGACUCAACCCUUGAGAGA